AUUGAACGCUGGCGGCAGGCCUAACACAUGCAAGUCGAGCGAGAGGCGGACGGGUGAGUAAUGUAUGGGGACUGCCCGAUAGAGGGGGAUAACUACUGGAAACGGUGGCUAAUACCGCAUACUAUCGGAUAACCCAUAUGGGAUUAGCUAGUAGGUGGGGUAAAGGCUCACCUUGGCGAAGAUCUCUACCUGGUCUGAGAGGAUGAUCAGCCACGCUGGGACUGUGGCACGGCCCCGACUCCUACGGAGGCAGCAGUGGGGAAUAUUGCACAAUGUGCGCUAUCCUGAUGCAGCCAUGCCGCGUGUAUGAAGAAGGCCUUAGGGUUGUAAAGUACUUUCAGCGGGGAGGCGUUACCCGCAGAAGAAGCCCCGGCUAACUCCGUGCCAGCAGCCGCGGUAAUUC
This 403-nucleotide ribosomal RNA is filed under the name uncultured bacterium. Its description in RNAcentral is "partial 16S ribosomal RNA". It matches the Rfam family "Bacterial small subunit ribosomal RNA", at positions 30 to 526 of the family's 1533-position model. The record is from RNAcentral.